GCGGAGGAAAGAACCAACCGGGAUUGCCUUAGUAACGGCGAGUGAAGCGGCAAAAGCUCAAAUUUGAAAUCUGGUACCUUCGGUGCCCGAGUUGUAAUUUGGAGAGGGCAACUUUGGGGCCGUUCCUUGUCUAUGUUCCUUGGAACAGGACGUCAUAGAGGGUGAGAAUCCCGUGUGGCGAGGAGUGCGGUUCUUUGUAAAGUGCCUUCGAAGAGUCGAGUUGUUUGGGAAUGCAGCUCUAAGUGGGUGGUAAAUUCCAUCUAAAGCUAAAUAUUGGCGAGAGACCGAUAGCGAACAAGUACAGUGAUGGAAAGAUGAAAAGAACUUUGAAAAGAGAGUGAAAAAGUACGUGAAAUUGUUGAAAGGGAAGGGCAUUUGAUCAGACAUGGUGUUUUGUGCCCUCUGCUCCUUGUGGGUAGGGGAAUCUCGCAUUUCACUGGGCCAGCAUCAGUUUUGGUGGCAGGAUAAAUCCAUAGGAAUGUAGCUUGCCUCGGUAAGUAUUAUAGCCUGUGGGAAUACUGCCAGCUGGGACUGAGGACUGCGACGUAAGUCAAGGAUGCUGGCAUAAUGGUUAUAUGCCGCCCGUCUUGAAACACGGACCUCCUGUGUGAAGUGAAUCCGCUA
This 624-nucleotide ribosomal RNA is filed under the name Saccharomyces cerevisiae (brewer's yeast). RNAcentral describes it as "eukaryotic LSU rRNA". It matches the Rfam family "Eukaryotic large subunit ribosomal RNA", at positions 50 to 664 of the family's 3401-position model. Lineage: Eukaryota; Fungi; Ascomycota; Saccharomycetes; Saccharomycetales; Saccharomycetaceae. The record is from RNAcentral.